AUUGAACGCUGGCGGCAGGCCUAACACAUGCAAGUCGAGCGGAUGAAGGGAGCUUGCUCCUGGAUUCAGCGGCGGACGGGUGAGUAAUGCCUAGGAAUCUGCCUUGUAGUGGGGGAUAACGUCCGGAAACGGGCGCUAAUACCGCAUACGUCCUGAGGGAGAAAGGGGGGGAUCUUCGGACCUCACGCUAUCAGAUGAGCCUAGGUCGGAUUAGCUAGUUGGUGGGGUAAAGGCCUACCAAGGCGACGAUCCGUAACUGGUCUGAGAGGAUGAUCAGUCACACUGGAACUGAGACACGGUCCAGACUCCUACGGGAGGCAGCAGUGGGGAAUAUUGGACAAUGGGCGAAAGCCUGAUCCAGCCAUGCCGCGUGUGUGAAGAAGGUCUUCGGAUUGUAAAGCACUUUAAGUUGGGAGGAAGGGCAGUAAGUUAAUACCUUGCUGUUUUGACGUUACCAACAGAAUAAGCACCGGCUAACUUCGUG
RNAcentral lists this ribosomal RNA (484 nucleotides) under uncultured bacterium. RNAcentral's name for it is "partial 16S ribosomal RNA". It matches the Rfam family "Bacterial small subunit ribosomal RNA", at positions 30 to 507 of the family's 1533-position model. The record is from RNAcentral.